This 1341-nucleotide ribosomal RNA is filed under the name uncultured bacterium. Its description in RNAcentral is "partial 16S ribosomal RNA". It matches the Rfam family "Bacterial small subunit ribosomal RNA", at positions 28 to 1381 of the family's 1533-position model. The record is from RNAcentral.
GACGAACUUUGGCGGCGUGCUUAACACAUGCAAGUCGAACGGUAAGGCUCCAGCUUGCUGGGGUACACGAGUGGCGAACGGGUGAGUAACACGUGGGUGACCUGCCCUGCACUUCGGGAUAAGCCUGGGAAACUGGGCCUAAUACCGGAUAGGACCGCACCGUGAGGGUGUGGUGGAAAGUUUUUUCGGUGUGGGAUGGGCCCGCGGCCUAUCAGCUUGUUGGUGGGGUAAUGGCCUACCAAGGCGGCGACGGGUAGCCGGCCUGAGAGGGUGGACGGCCACAUUGGGACUGAGACACGGCCCAGACUCCUACGGGAGGCAGCAGUGGGGAAUAUUGCACAAUGGGCGGAAGCCUGAUGCAGCGACGCCGCGUGGGGGAUGACGGCCUUCGGGUUGUAAACUCCUUUCACCAUCGACGAAGGGUUUCUGACGGUAGAUGGAGAAGAAGCACCGGCUAACUACGUGCCAGCAGCCGCGGUAAUACGUAGGGUGCGAGCGUUGUCCGGAAUUACUGGGCGUAAAGAGCUCGUAGGUGGUUUGUCGCGUCGUCUGUGAAAUUCCGGGGCUUAACUCCGGGCGUGCAGGCGAUACGGGCAUAACUUGAGUACUGUAGGGGAGACUGGAAUUCCUGGUGUAGCGGUGAAAUGCGCAGAUAUCAGGAGGAACACCGGUGGCGAAGGCGGGUCUCUGGGCAGUAACUGACGCUGAGGAGCGAAAGCAUGGGGAGCGAACAGGAUUAGAUACCCUGGUAGUCCAUGCCGUAAACGGUGGGCGCUAGGUGUGGGUUUCCUUCCACGGGAUCCGUGCCGUAGCUAACGCAUUAAGCGCCCCGCCUGGGGAGUACGGCCGCAAGGCUAAAACUCAAAGGAAUUGACGGGGGCCCGCACAAGCGGCGGAGCAUGUGGAUUAAUUCGAUGCAACGCGAAGAACCUUACCUGGGCUUGACAUAUACAGGAUCGCGCCAGAGAUGGUGUUUCCCUUGUGGCUUGUAUACAGGUGGUGCAUGGUUGUCGUCAGCUCGUGUCGUGAGAUGUUGGGUUAAGUCCCGCAACGAGCGCAACCCUUGUCUUAUGUUGCCAGCACGUUGUGGUGGGGACUCGUAAGAAACUGCCGGGGUUAACUCGGAGGAAGGUGGGGAUGACGUCAAAUCAUCAUGCCCCUUAUGUCCAGGGCUUCACACAUGCUACAAUGGUCGGUACAGUGGGUUGCCAGUCCGUGAGGGCGAGCUAAUCCCGCAAAGCCGGUCUCAGUUCGGAUCGGGGUCUGCAACUCGACCCCGUGAAGUCGGAGUCGCUAGUAAUCGCAGAUCAGCAACGCUGCGGUGAAUACGUUCCCGGGCCU